UCCCAUAUGGUCUAGUGGUUAGGACUCCUGAUUUUCACUCAGAUGGUCUGGGUUCAAAUCCCGGUAUGGGAA
Protopterus annectens (West African lungfish) is the source of this 72-nucleotide non-coding RNA. The record is from the annotation of a RefSeq genome assembly. Lineage: Eukaryota; Metazoa; Chordata; Ceratodontiformes; Protopteridae.